GCGCAGCAGUCGAGAAACCUUCGCAAUGCAGGAAACUGCGACGAGGGAACUCCAAGUGCCUACGCUCAGCGUAGGCUGUUCUCAAGCCUAGAAAGCUUGAGGAGUAAGGGCUGGGUAAGACGGGUGCCAUCUGUGGUAGCAGUCAAUAGAUUCGAUUUGUUACUGCAAGGCAUAAGCCGCCGCGGUAAUACCCGCAGCCCAAGUGGUGACCGUUAUUAUUGGGCCUAAAACGUCCGUAGCCGGUUUAAUAAAUGCCUGGGUAAAUCGUGUAGCUUAACUAUACGAAUUCCGGGUAGACUGUUAAACUCGAGACCGGGAGAAGUUAGAGGUACUCCUGGGGUAGAGGUGAAAUUCUGUAAUCCUAGGGGGACCACCAGUGGCGAAGGCGUCUAACUAGAACGGGUCUGACGGUGAGGGACGAAGCCCUGGGGCGCAAACGGGAUUAGAUACCCGCGUAG
Molecule: ribosomal RNA, 458 nt
Filed under: uncultured microorganism
Description: bacterial SSU rRNA
Rfam family: Archaeal small subunit ribosomal RNA
Source: RNAcentral